GAUGAACGCUGGCGGCGUGCCUAAUACAUGCAAGUCGAGCGAACGGACGAGAAGCUUGCUUUUCUGAUGUUAGCGGCGGACGGGUGAGUAACACGUGGAUAACCUACCUAUAAGACUGGGAUAACUUCGGGAAACCGGAGCUAAUACCGGAUAAUAUUUUGAACCGCAUGGUUCAAAAGUGAAAGACGGUCUUGCUGUCACUUAUAGAUGGAUCCGCGCUGCAUUAGCUAGUUGGUAAGGUAACGGCUUACCAAGGCAACGAUGCAUAGCCGACCUGAGAGGGUGAUCGGCCACACUGGAACUGAGACACGGUCCAGACUCCUAAGGGAGGCAGCAGUAGGGAAUCUUCCGCAAUGGGCGAAAGCCUGACGGAGCAACGCCGCGUGAGUGAUGAAGGUCUUCGGAUCGUAAAACUCUGUUAUUAGGGAAGAACAUAUGUGUAAGUAACUGUGCACAUCUUGACGGUACCUAAUCAGAAAGCCACGGCUAACUACGUG
This 497-nucleotide ribosomal RNA is filed under the name uncultured bacterium. Its description in RNAcentral is "partial 16S ribosomal RNA". It matches the Rfam family "Bacterial small subunit ribosomal RNA", at positions 28 to 507 of the family's 1533-position model. The record is from RNAcentral.